GCUUUGGUGCCUUCGGGAACUCUGAGACAGGUGCUGCAUGGCUGUCGUCAGCUCGUGUUGUGAAAUGUUGGGUUAAGUCCCGCAACGAGCGCAACCCUUAUCCUUUGUUGCCAGCGGCUCGGCCGGGAACUCAAAGGAGACUGCCGGUGAUAAACCGGAGGAAGGUGGGGAUGACGUCAAGUCAUCAUGGCCCUUACGGCCAGGGCUACACACGUGCUACAAUGGCGCAUACAAAGAGAAGCGACCUCGCGAGAGCAAGCGGACCUCAUAAAGUGCGUCGUAGUCCGGAUUGGAGUCUGCAACUCGACUCCAUGAAGUCGGAAUCGCUAGUAAUCGUAGAUCAGAAUGCUACGGUGAAUACGUUCCCGGGCCUUGUACACACCGCCCGUCACACCAUGGGAGUGGGUUGCAAAAGAAGUAGGUAGCUUAACCUUCGGGAGGGCGCUUACCACUUUGUGAUUCAUGACUGGGGUGAAGUCGUAACAAGGUAGGCGUAGCGAG
This 501-nucleotide ribosomal RNA is filed under the name uncultured bacterium. Its description in RNAcentral is "bacterial SSU rRNA". It matches the Rfam family "Bacterial small subunit ribosomal RNA", at positions 1008 to 1509 of the family's 1533-position model. The record is from RNAcentral.